GUGCUCACUUCGGCAGCACAUUCGAUACUAAAAUUGGAACAAGACAGAGAAGAUUAGCAUGGUCCCUGCACAAGGAUGACACGCAAAUUCAUAAAGUGUUCUAUAUUUUU
Small nuclear RNA from Echinops telfairi (small Madagascar hedgehog), 110 nucleotides. The record is from Ensembl. Lineage: Eukaryota; Metazoa; Chordata; Mammalia; Afrosoricida; Tenrecidae.